GAUGAACGCUGGCGGCGCGCCUAAUACAUGCAAGUCGAGCGAACGGACGAGAAGCUUGCUUUUCUGAUGUUAGCGGCGGACGGGUGAGUAACACGUGGAUAACCUACCUAUAAGACUGGGAUAACUUCGGGAAACCGGAGCUAAUACCGGAUAAUAUUUUGAACCGCAUGGUUCAAAAGUGAAAGACGGUCUUGCUGUCACUUAUAGAUGGAUCCGCGCUGCAUUAGCUAGUUGGUAAGGUAACGGCUUACCAAGGCAACGAUGCAUAGCCGACCUGAGAGGGUGAUCGGCCACACUGGAACUGAGACACGGUCCAGACUCCUACGGGAGGCAGCAGUAGGGAAUCUUCCGCAAUGGGCGAAAGCCUGACGGAGCAACGCCGCGUGAGUGAUGAAGGUCUUCGGAUCGUAAAACUCUGUUAUUAGGGAAGAACAUAUGUGUAAGUAACUGUGCACAUCUUGACGGUACCGAAUCAGAAAGCCACGGCUAACUACGUGCCAGCAGCCGCGGUAAUACGUAGGUGGCAAGCGUUAUCCGGAAUUAUUGGGCGUAAAGCGCGCGUAGGCGGUUUUUUAAGUCUGAUGUGAAAGCCCACGGCUCAACCGUGGAGGGUCAUUGGAAACUGGAAAACUUGAGUGCAGAAGAGGAAAGUGGAAUUCCAUGUGUAGCGGUGAAAUGCGCAGAGAUGUGGAGGAACACCAGUGGCGAAGGCGACUUUCUGGUCUGUAACUGACGCUGAUGUGCGAAAGCGUGGGGAUCAAACAGGAUUAGAUACCCUGGUAGUCCACGCCGUAAACGAUGAGUGCUAAGUGUUAGGGGGUUUCCGCCCCUUAGUGCUGCAGCUAACGCAUUAAGCACUCCGCCUGGGGAGUACGACCGCAAGGUUGAAACUCAAAGGAAUUGACGGGGGCCCGCACAAGCGGUGGAGCAUGUGGUUUAAUUCGAAGCAACGCGAAGAACCUUACCAAAUCUUGACAUCCUUUGACAACUCUAGAGAUAGAGCCUUCCCCUUCGGGGGACAAAGUGACAGGUGGUGCAUGGUUGUCGUCAGCUCGUGUCGUGAGAUGUUGGGUUAAGUCCCGCAACGAGCGCAACCCUUAAGCUUAGUUGCCAUCAUUAAGUUGGGCACUCUAAGUUGACUGCCGGUGACAAACCGGAGGAAGGUGGGGAUGACGUCAAAUCAUCAUGCCCCUUAUGAUUUGGGCUACACACGUGCUACAAUGGACAAUACAAAGGGCAGCGAAACCGCGAGGUCAAGCAAAUCCCAUAAAGUUGUUCUCAGUUCGGAUUGUAGUCUGCAACUCGACUACAUGAAGCUGGAAUCGCUAGUAAUCGUAGAUCAGCAUGCUACGGUGAAUACGUUCCCGGGUCU
Molecule: ribosomal RNA, 1372 nt
Filed under: uncultured bacterium
Lineage: Bacteria
Description: bacterial SSU rRNA
Rfam family: Bacterial small subunit ribosomal RNA
Source: RNAcentral